AUAUAAGUUCAUUGCUUAAAUUAAUUUCGUCAGUCUCUAAGUUUGACAGUGCUUAGAGAUUCAGUCACUUGCAGUCUUGAUUUACUGUUACUGACAAAAACCGUGAAAAUGAACAAUAGACUAAUAUUGAUCCUGGUCCCCUGUGUGGUUUUGUUUGUAAUCAUUCAAUCCAGUAUGGGGCAGUACGGUAAUAUGUACCCCGGGUAUGGCGGUGGAUACGGCGGUGGAUACGGCGGUGGAUACGGAGGGAGUGGGUACGGCUCCACUGGGAUACUGGGUGACGUGAGGAAAGGAUUGGGCGUAUUUGGAGGCAUUUCCGGAAUUCUCCUUUUGUACUUCCUGUUCAACGGAACUGGACAGGUUGCCGGAUAAAACGGAAAUGACGUCAUAUCGUUACACAAGCAUACAGGGGUCGGUCCAGCAGCCAAAGAUUUCUUGCUCACUAGAACAUGUAAUACAUUUUGUUGAUGUAAAUAAAAUGAUGACUUUUAUUA
This is a long non-coding RNA of Pecten maximus, 494 nucleotides long. RefSeq lists it as uncharacterized. The transcript is spliced from 3 exons. Lineage: Eukaryota; Metazoa; Mollusca; Bivalvia; Pectinida; Pectinidae. The record is from RefSeq and is a predicted model, not a curated record.